GAUGGUAGUGUAUUGGACUACCAUGGCAGUUACGGGUAACGGAGAAUUAGGGUUCGGUUCCGGAGAGGGAGCCUGAGAAACGGCUACCACAUCUAAGGAAGGCAGCAGGCGCGUAAAUUACCCAAUCCCGAUUCGGGGAGGUAGUGACAAGAAAUAACAACCUGGGGGACUCUGUCCUUACGGGAUUGCAAUGAGAACAAUUUAAACGACUUAUCGAGGAACAAUUGGAGGGCAAGUCUGGUGCCAGCAGCCGCGGUAAUUCCAGCUCCAAUAGCGUAUAUUAAAGUUGUUACAGUUAAAAAGCUCGUAGUUGAACUUCUGUACGUGCCCGGUUCUGGCUUCGGUCAAGCUGUGGUGCGUGCAUCCGCUUGCAAACCUGGCCCGGCCUUUACUGGUCGACCAGGGGAGUAGGCCUUUUACUUUGAAAAAAUUAGAGUGUUUCAAGCAGGCAAUGGCUCGAAUACAUUAGCAUGGAAUAAUGGAAUAGGACUUUUGUCCAUUUGGUUGGUUAUUGGACAUGAGUAGUGAUUAACAGGGACAGUUGGGGGCAUUAGUAUUUAAUUGUCAGAGGUGAAAUUCUUGGAUUUAUUAAAGACUAACCUAUGCGAAAGCAUUUGCCAA
RNAcentral lists this ribosomal RNA (621 nucleotides) under uncultured ciliate. Its description in RNAcentral is "SSU rRNA". It matches the Rfam family "Eukaryotic small subunit ribosomal RNA", at positions 324 to 961 of the family's 1831-position model. Lineage: Eukaryota; Ciliophora. The record is from RNAcentral.